RNAcentral lists this long non-coding RNA (209 nucleotides) under Elaeis guineensis (African oil palm). RNAcentral describes it as "long non-coding RNA (EGUI_LNC043720)". Lineage: Eukaryota; Viridiplantae; Streptophyta; Magnoliopsida; Arecales; Arecaceae. The record is from RNAcentral.
UUGGAGUUUGAUUAACACAUAAACAUGGGUCUUAAUAAGUCCUUGUAGAGGAUAUUGAUGACAGUUGGUCCACUGUAGGAGAAGGAUGUGCAUUAAGAUGGGAUCUAUCGACCUUGAUAGAAAAGAGUAGUCCUAUAAGAUUUGAGAGACUAAGUCUGAGAAUCUAUGACCACAGUAGUGUGAUUGAUGAAAAAAAAUUUUCAUAGAAG